UACAGCUGCACCCAGAUAUCAUGGAAACAACUGCAGGAGGAAAAACUCAUGAACAUUAUGAUCUUCCAAGAUAUGAAAACAGUGGUCACACCCUAGAGGACUUGGUGGAUAUAACUGCAGGAGGCAAAAACUGAUGGACAGUUCUUAAAUGUGGAAACCACCUGCAGCCAACAGGACUUGGUGGAAACAAGUGAAGGAGGCCAGGAUGAUGGUUGCUAACCCUCCCCCCCCCAACACUCCCUUCAGGACAAAACAAAGUAAAUUACAGACACUCAUCAGGUCACAUAUUUUUAGAGCUUUUCUUUGAUCUGAUGCUACAGAGUCUAUAUGUGUUUUCUGACCUGACCAGUGUUUGGAUUUGAGGUCAUCUUACCUAUAUGUGGAUGCUGCAACAUGUGAUGAUUCCUCUUCUUAUAAGUUGUAAGAUUUGGAGACCAUACCAAAUGUGGAAUUACCAGUAGGCAGAUUUUGUGUGUACUUGGUUGGCUGGACAUAUUUGAGAACGAGGGAUCAU
Molecule: long non-coding RNA, 514 nt
Organism: Saccostrea cuccullata (small rock oyster)
Lineage: Eukaryota; Metazoa; Mollusca; Bivalvia; Ostreida; Ostreidae
Exons: 3
Source: RefSeq, a predicted model, not a curated record